Long non-coding RNA from Vespula vulgaris, 408 nucleotides. RefSeq lists it as uncharacterized. NCBI's taxonomy places the organism in Eukaryota, Metazoa, Arthropoda, Insecta, Hymenoptera, Vespidae. The transcript has 2 exons. The record is from RefSeq and is a predicted model, not a curated record.
UAUGUAAAAGAUAAUAGAUAUAAUUAAUACGAAAAUAAGUGAAAAUACGGAAAAAAACUGCUGGAAAUUAUAAAUGGUCUUCAUAGCUGGAUUCAUAGAUGGUCUUGAAAUGAACCAAUCUUUUGAUUUUUAUAAAAAGAAUUUAUAUGAUUCUAAUGUAUUCUAUCUAUUGUGAAGAAUAUUAUAAGCAAUAAAAGUAAUUACACCCAGCUACUUGGUCAGUAGUACUGGAAAGGUAUUUUACUAUAUUGCGAAGAUUACCAGACUUCAUCGAGUAGAUGUUGUUGCAUAUGAAGACCAACACACUAACGCCAACUCAUUUAAGUAGAGUAAAUGAGAAUAAAAGAUAAUAAAUGAAAACAAAUAAAAAUGUAUAAGAAGAAUAAAGAAAUUAUAAUUAUUCUACGA